Long non-coding RNA from Cyprinus carpio carpio, 1934 nucleotides. The record is from Ensembl. NCBI's taxonomy places the organism in Eukaryota, Metazoa, Chordata, Actinopteri, Cypriniformes, Cyprinidae.
UAUUAUUAUUAUUAUUAUUAUUAUUUUACAUUUUUUUGCACACUUGAAAUUACAAAGAAAAAUGCUGGAAUUCAGAAUUUUUAGUCUUGCAAUUCUGGGUUUAUAUUUCACAAGUCUGAUGAGAUUAGGCCCAAUAGUACAGGCCUCCAUAGUUGAUUGAUUACAUUAAGAAUUACAAACAACAACAAAAAAAAAAAUGUAAUGUUUUCUAAAAUGUUGUUUAAAUACGCAAAUGAGGCAUUAUCUAAUUAAAUAUGCACUCAUUAGCAUGCAUUUCCAGAACAUAAAUGCUCUAUAAUUUUGUUGUCAUAUUAGAGUUUAGUAAGGUUUUUUGAAAGAGGAUUUUGGAUUUCUCUUAAUCACUCCAUAAGUCAGAAAAUACUGUCAACACACAGAAAAAAUAAAUGUUUAUAGGAAUAAAAAAAAAAUCAUAUUAAUCAGUGGGAAUGAUAUAUAAACAAAGUAAAAGCCUUCAUAUAUAGACAGAAGAAGAAAAAGCUUUAAAGAUAUGGAUUGGAAUUGAAAUCUGUGAUCUAAAUCAAUAAAAUAAACACUUAAUUGUGUAUUUUGCAUUUAGUCUAAAAAAAAAAAACACUAGUCUGGAAUAAAAUCUCAGACCUGGCCAGUGCAUGAAAGCAUGUUUUUGCCUGGAGUGUCUCACCUUAAAAAUGAGUCUGCAGGAACUAGCAAUCCGUCCCACUCUCUUCCUGAUGUCAUGGCAUUGGCUGUGUGUGUGUGUGUGUGUGUGUGUGUGUGUGUGUCAUCAUGUGUUGUCCACUAGGGGUCCCGCUGUGUGGGAGGGGCCGGUGGGAGGGGCCGCCUCGCUCUCAGAGGAACGGCAGUGGAUUGGUGACACCGAGUGGUACGUCCCAAACAAAGGCAGACGCACACAAAGGGAGCUCACACACACACACACACACACACACACACACACACCCUCAGCUGUUCCAAACGGCCACCCGGACCCUCCUUCUUUGUGUUCCUCUGCGCUGGAGACAAAGACGACACAGAAGCCAUGAGAAGCAGAACAAAUCAGAGCAGCUCCAUCUGUACAGCAGCAGCGCCUGCAUCCACAGACCGCUGCUCACGCUUGAAUCCUUUCACACAAACAUUACAAUCCUGACGUCCUUCACUCGCCCUCGUGUCCUUCAAACCCUUCUUUCUUCUGUGAAACAUGAAGAAGAUGUUUUGAAGAGUGUUCUUUCGCUUGCACACAGUGGAAGAUCUUACUAACAUCCGUCAAGCACAAGUCGACUGUUAUUCCACGUCUUCUGAAGUCAAAUGUGAGGAACGGGCUGAAAAUCACAUUUUAAAUCAGUCUUGAAGCUGUCAGAUGCAUCAGAUAUUCUCUUAUAAAUAAAGCUUCCAAAAGAACCAUUUUUGGCUUCGUGAAGAACCUUUCAGUGAACAGUUCUUCAAAGAAUCAUCUUAUUUCUUUUUAAAGGACCCUUUAUUAUAAUGUGCAUUGAAAAGCACAAAAAGGUUCAGUUCCAAGAAAGAACCUUUAUUUUUAAGAAUAUGUAGCACUAUGUUUGAUUUGGACACUGCAGUGCAUGACAAUCAUUUACAUUUGAAUUAGUUUCUCACACAAAGCAUCAUAUGCAUAAGGGUCAUGUGACACAGAAGACUGGAGUAAUGAUGCUGAAAAUUCAGAUUUGAUCACAGAAAUAAAUUACAGUUUAACAGAGAUUCACAUAGAGAAUGGCUUUUUUACAUUAGAAUAAUAUUUCACAAUUUUUACUGUAUUUUCUUUUUUUCUUUUUUUACAAAUAAAUGCAGCCUUGGUGAGCAGAAGAGACUUUUAUUUAUUUUUGAAGAAACUUUUUCCACUACAAAGAACCUUUAAGGGUUUCUGCAGGUCUUAUAAAGUCUUUAUACACUCUUCCACAAACUAAGGCCUUAAAUCAGAGCAGAAAGUAGUUGCAUUUAGUCUU